RNAcentral lists this ribosomal RNA (1317 nucleotides) under Eucalanus bungii. Its description in RNAcentral is "lrRNA". The stretch from base 883 to 1204 matches the Rfam family "Archaeal large subunit ribosomal RNA", at positions 2153 to 2718 of the family's 2987-position model. Lineage: Eukaryota; Metazoa; Arthropoda; Copepoda; Calanoida; Eucalanidae. The record is from RNAcentral.
GAUAGCCUAGCUGCUGCGCCUAAGUGUGAACUUAGUGGGCCAGUAAGAAUUUCAUACACACUUAUUAACGUGGCCUUGUAACUAAGCUAUAAAACAUGUCAAAAGUAAAACUUUUGCACAUGGGUGUCGGCCCUAAAGACCGUGUUCCCGCCAAAGCCGUAAAAUAAAGCAACACUAUUGAUUUAUAAAACUCUUUUCAACUAAGAUAACUUGCGCCCCCACUUUUAGAGAAAAAAAGAAUCUACCUUUUGCAUCAUGUGAGUUAGAACAUUGUAAAUAAUUUUUAUGUCCCGCACAGUGUAAAAUAAGAUAGAAACGAUAUGAAAUGUGGUAAAAUUUCUCUCAAUUUCUAUUUUGGAAUGAUAUGUUAAAAUUACGCUCCAUCUGGUUCAGGUAAAUAAUAUUUUAAAUAGCCUAAUAUAAAUAAGUAACCCUACCUAAGAAAAGUUAGCUAGUCUACCACUACUUUGGAUUUAAAAGUGUUAAAAAUAAAAUUAAUAAUGUUGAGAUUACUAUAUUAAAAUUAACCAUCUAAAAACAUUUAUACUCAGUGUGGGACCCCCCUGUAAAAACCUUAAACUAAUAUAAAAUAUUAGCCCAUAAGUAGCUAAACAGUUUGAAAAAACUACAAGAAUAAUUUUACGAUUAAAAUAAUAAUUUUUAAAUCUUUACUCUGCCCAUUUUAUCUGGCCUGUCUAUCAAAUACAUCUUAAAUAUGAUUUAUAUUGCCUGCUCAGUGAAUUAUUUUAACAGCCGCGCAAGUGCUAAGGUAGCAUAAUAAUUAGUUUCUUAAUUGGGAACAAGAAUGAAAGGUUUCACUAGGAUAGCAGAUAGUUUUACUUAAAGUGAAUUUUUACUAUUGGUGAAAAUACCAAUGUCGUCCAUUAAGACAAAAAGACCCUAUGAAGCUUUAUAACGAAUACAAAUUACAGCCACGCAUAUGUUAUUUUUUUGGGGUAAAAUUAAAUAAUUUUAUUUAGACUUAUCAGUUUAGUAAAUCCUUUUUGAAAAAUGAACUAGCUCCUCUAGGGAUAACAGCAUUAUUCUGAUGAGAGACCCUAUCGGAAUCAGAGUUUGUGACCUCGAUGUUGAAUUAAAUAACUUCUUAUGCGCAGAAGCUUAAGUAAGACUAGUCUGUUCGACUAAUAAAAUUUACAUGAUUUGAGUUUAGGUCGACGCAAGUCAGACCGGUUUUUAUCUAAUGUUUCACCACUAACUUUUUAGUACGAAAGGAAUUAAAGCUAUUUUUAGCGGAGUAAUCAACUGAUGUCAAAUUUUUAAUUUGAAAAUGGGAUAAAUUUCCCCGCGCUAAGCCGC